RNAcentral lists this transfer-messenger RNA (405 nucleotides) under bovine gut metagenome. It matches the Rfam family "transfer-messenger RNA". Rfam says of the family: Bacterial tmRNA, also known as 10Sa RNA or SsrA, is named for its dual tRNA and mRNA-like properties. Its role is to liberate the mRNA from a stalled ribosome. The record is from RNAcentral.
GGGGCUGCUUUGGUUUUGACAGCGCUGAUAUCGGACGGUAAGCACGUCGGGCCUCUCCGGUGGCCGGCCCGUUAAUCUCAGACAUCGGAAACAUUCAGUUGCCAACAACAACUAUGCACUCGCUGCUUAAUCUGCCAUUGUAGAUGAGCUUAAUCGGGCCGGCCAAGGCUGCCGGUCUGACGAGUAUCCCGCCAUCCUUUAGGCCGGUUAUGGGUGGCAUACGGGGUAUCAUCCAAACCGGAUGCGCAAGGCGGAUGCUCCUGCCGUCUUGUCAAGAUUCAGGAGAUAAGCUCCGGAUGGCCUGUCUGCCGGCAGUCCGCUGACGAAAACCAAAGGGAGACUAAACGUGUAGAAAGCUGCCUGGUGCGGUGUUUGGACGGCGGUUCGAGUCCGCCCAGCUCCACC